CCUACGGGAGGCAGCAGUGAGGAAUAUUGGUCAAUGGACGAGAGUCUGAACCAGCCAAGUAGCGUGAAGGAUGACUGCCCUAUGGGUUGUAAACUUCUUUUAUAAAGGAAUAAAACGAGGCACGUGUGCCUUUUUGCAUGUACUUUAUGAAUAAGGAUCGGCUAACUCCGUGCCAGCAGCCGCGGUAAUACGGAGGAUCCGAGCGUUAUCCGGAUUUAUUGGGUUUAAAGGGAGCGUAGAUGGGUUGUUAAGUCAGUUGUGAAAGUUUGCGGUUCAACCGUAAAAUUGCAAUUGAUACUGGCAGUCUUGAGUACAGUUGAGGUAAGCGGAAUUCGUGGUGUAGCGGUGAAAUGCUUAGAUAUCACGAAGAACCCCGAUUGCGAAGGCAGCUUACUAAACUGUGACUGACAUUGAUGCUCGAAAGCGUGGGUAGCAAACAGGAUUAGAUACCCUAGUAGUC
Molecule: ribosomal RNA, 460 nt
Filed under: uncultured bacterium
Lineage: Bacteria
Description: partial 16S ribosomal RNA
Rfam family: Bacterial small subunit ribosomal RNA
Source: RNAcentral